GAUGAACGCUGGCGGUAUGCUUAACACAUACAAGUCGAACGGUCACUUCGGUGAUAGUGGCGGACGGGUGAGUAACGCGUGAGAAUCUGUCUUCAGGUCGGGGACAACAGUUAGAAAUGACUGCUAAUACCGGAUGUGCCUUUGGGUGAAAGAUUUAUUGCCUGAAAAAGAGCUCGCGUCAGAUUAGCUAGUAGGUGGUGUAAGAGACUACCUAGGCUCCGAUCUGUAGCUGGUCUGAGAGGACGAUCAGCCACACUGGAACUGAGACACGGUCCAGACUCCUACGGGAGGCAGCAGUGGGGAAUUUUCCGCAAUGGGCGAAAGCCUGACGGAGCAAUACCGCGUGAGGGACGAAGGCUUUUGGGUCGUAAACCUCUUUUCUCAAGGAAGAUGAUGACGGUACUUGAGGAAUAAGCAUCGGCUAACUCUGUG
Molecule: ribosomal RNA, 432 nt
Filed under: uncultured bacterium
Lineage: Bacteria
Description: partial 16S ribosomal RNA
Rfam family: Bacterial small subunit ribosomal RNA
Source: RNAcentral